UACGGAGGGUGCAAGCGUUAAUCGGAAUUACUGGGCGUAAAGCGCGCGUAGGCGGUUUUGUAAGUCAUAUGUGAAAUCCCCGGGCUCAACCUGGGAACUGCAUACGAUACUGCAAGUCUAGAGUGUGGUAGAGGGAAGCGGAAUUCCGGGUGUAGCGGUGAAAUGCGUAGAUAUCCGGAGGAACAUCAGUGGCGAGGGCGGCUUCCUGGACCAACACUGACGCUGAGGCGCGAAAGCGUGGGGAGCAAACAGGAUUAGAUACCCUGGUAGU
Molecule: ribosomal RNA, 271 nt
Filed under: uncultured bacterium
Lineage: Bacteria
Description: partial 16S ribosomal RNA
Rfam family: Bacterial small subunit ribosomal RNA
Source: RNAcentral